Molecule: long non-coding RNA, 234 nt
Filed under: Solanum tuberosum (potato)
Lineage: Eukaryota; Viridiplantae; Streptophyta; Magnoliopsida; Solanales; Solanaceae
Description: long non-coding RNA (STUB_LNC001118)
Source: RNAcentral
AAUAGACAGUAGUCCUAUUUAAUUACAAUCAAUUUGGACCCCAACAGCUCAAAUACAUAACUUUUCUCAAUGAUUCUUCAGAUUGCUCUGCCUUUUCAUUCUUCGCAAUUAAUGAAGAAGAAAGUUUCUUGGCUUGAGCAUAAGAUCUCAUGUUAUUCUUUGUGUGUUGAGCCAAAGACUUCAAUGGGUAAUUCCAUCUACACAAUCCAACUUGAUCUUUUAAGGCUUCCNNNN